This 195-nucleotide unclassified non-coding RNA is filed under the name uncultured Sebacinaceae. RNAcentral describes it as "sequence contains ITS2". Lineage: Eukaryota; Fungi; Basidiomycota; Agaricomycetes; Sebacinales; Sebacinaceae. The record is from RNAcentral.
GUACUCUCACACUCUACUAUUAGAGAAGUGGACUUGGGUGUUGCUGCUUCGCUGUGGCUCAUCUCAAAUAUGCUAGUGCAACUCAUGGUUGGAUAUAGUACAGCGUGAUAAGUAUCUUCGCUGGCGCCUCAUGAAGAGGGUGUCCGAUUGGGAGCUCUGUGCUUCGAACAGUCCCAUCUGGGACAAUCUCUGACA